GUAAUUUAGUUUUUCCGAAUUAUGUUUAAAAAAACUAAAAAAGGUAAAAGUGCAAUAAGUAGUCCAUAAGAAAUAGAUUCAACACAGAUCCAAGAUUGCUGCUUUUGGAAAAGAUGGCACAACUAGCCAUUGUUCCCGCAGUCCAUGUUGUCUGCCUGACACUAAGUAGUCCAUAAGAAACUGCUCUUACACACCGUACCUACUAGCCAUAGUUGCCGCAGCCCCUGUUUCCUCACACUAAGUAUUCCAUAAGAAACUGCCGUUACACACCGUGCCUAUGCCUAAAUUUCUGCCUUUGGAAAGAUGUGCUGCUGCUAUCCUUGCUGUACUUGCUGCAGUCCCUGCUGUUCGCCAUGCUGCUAUGUACCCUGCUGUUGCCCCUGCUGUCGACCAUGCUGCACUCCUUGGAGUCCCUGUUGCUGUUAUCCCUGCGGUAUUGGCUGUAGCGGUUGCAAUGGAUGCUGAAAUUGGAAAAUAGGCACAUACACAUCAUUCAUAGCCCAAAAAAAUUCAUUUUAAAAUUGUACUUACACGAGGAUAAAAUAUAUGCUGCAUACUCUGUUGCCAUCGAGUAAA
Drosophila willistoni is the source of this 576-nucleotide long non-coding RNA. RefSeq lists it as uncharacterized. The transcript has 3 exons. The record is from RefSeq and is a predicted model, not a curated record. Lineage: Eukaryota; Metazoa; Arthropoda; Insecta; Diptera; Drosophilidae.